This is a non-coding RNA of Rattus norvegicus (Norway rat), 2373 nucleotides long. The record is from the annotation of a RefSeq genome assembly. NCBI's taxonomy places the organism in Eukaryota, Metazoa, Chordata, Mammalia, Rodentia, Muridae.
ACCAGGACCACUUUUGCAGGUCUUUUAUUUUAUUUUUUUAUUUUUUUUUUAAGAAUUUUAGAAUUUUAGAAUUUUAGAAUUUUACCUAAAACAGGAAGGUGUCUAGUCAACCUUGUGACAAACUGUCUCCAAUAACUGGGAACUGAAUCCACUUUCCUGCGAGAGCCAACUUUUCCAGAAAGGCACCUGAACUGUUUCCAGUGCUCAGCCAUGCUCCUGGUCCUCAUCUCACUCCUGGGGAUACACUUUUUCCUGGGUGUCCAAACACAGACAGUUUCUCAGUCCGAUGCCCAUGUCACUGUCUUUGAAGGAGACUCCGUGGAGCUGAGAUGCAAGUACUCUUAUGGUGCAACCCCUUACCUCUUCUGGUACAUCCAGCACCAUGGCCGUGGCCUCCAGUUUCUCCUCAAGUACUAUACAGGAGACCCCGUGGUUCAAGGAGUGAACGGCUUUGAGGCUGAGUUCAGCAAGAGCAACUCUUCCUUCCACCUGAGGAAAGCCUCUGUGCACUGGAGCGACUCGGCUGUGUACUUCUGUGCUCUGAGUGCACAGUGUCGGGGGCUGCAGGGGGAGCUGAUCACAAACCCGUAAGAUGCUGAGGAAGAUUCUGCGGCUGAGCAACUCUCGAUCAUUCACGCUCAUCAUCCAUGGAAGGACUAAGUAAACUCACUGGUCCUCCAAGUCGGACUUCUCUGGAAUUAUUUUGGUCUAUCCUCGGAACCCUAUGUGGGGUAUAUACACAUUUGGUCAUGGCUCCCAGGAAAAGUGAUAUAGCAAGACAAAAAGCAUUAAAUAGCCCUUGAGACAUGAUUGCCUUCUUAAUGUUUGUUUUGUAGGUUGCAUUUUCUAAUGACUGAUUACGUCCAUUAGACUUAAGAUACAACUCAGUUGUGCAUAACCAGUAGCUGCAGCGGGUGCUUACACGGUGUGCAGCAGAGGGAGAAGUAUUGGCUUCUGUCAGCUCCACACCGAGUUCAGUGAUAAGGAAGUUCACUGCUUGCACUCCACACCUCAAGAGCCUCAGAAGCACUCCCCAACUGUGAUCUUUAGUUUAGUUCCCUUGACUCAGUGUAGAAUCAUCCUAAAGAGAAUCGCAAUAAGGAGUUUUCUGGAUUAGGUUGUCUUGUGAGCAUGUCUGUGGCAGAUUACAAUAAUCACUGUGGGAAGACACAGUCUGCACAUGGGAAGCACCAUUCCCAGAGUUUGGGUCCUGCACGCCGCAUGAAAUGCAGAAGAGUUAGUGGAGCACAGCAUGCAAACAUUCUAUGCUCUUUGUUCCUGAUUACGGGUGUGAUGUGACAAGUUGGCUCAAGCUUCCGAUGCUGUGACAGGCACCCAGUCCUUGGUAUGGUGGACCGUGACCUUAAUGAUUAAGUCAAAUAAGUCCUCUUCCUUCUAAAUUAUUUUCAUCAAGCAGUUUUGUCACAGCCACAGGUAGGGAAGUAGGAAGCCAUCCUUACUCCAGCAGACAUAGGAGCACAGAGUUAAGAGACAGAAGGUAGGAAGGAGACCAGAGUCUGACCUCAGCAGAUGAAAUGAUUUCAAACAGCAAAGAGCAGACACUCUUUUGCAGGAAAUGGGCAUCUUCAAGGAAGAAGGGGGAUAUUUGGAGUUUAUAAAGAAUGUUGGGAUAAGGAAUCUUAUACCAUUGCAAGGGGCUAUGUACAAGUCUUCCGUUUCUCAUUUCUAGUAUUUUCUGCUCAUUUGAGACAGAUAAUGAUCGGAAACAGACAUUUUACAAAAAUAUUUCCUUUCCCAGGCUCACUGAUAACUGCUGGAGCAAGGACAGCUGAGGUCUCACAAAGAUUCUGUUUGUACAACUGAGGCACAGUAUAAUGUGUGAGGAGAGCAGUAUUUGUUUCUCUGUAGGAAGUCAAUGAUAGAGUGACACGUAGGCUCUUUCAUUUCAACUGAGACCCCUGGUAGCUAUUGGAUGAUAUUUCUGUAAUUAUGAACAGGAGUUGUGAUAGGCUUAUUUGCACCUUGUGCAUUCUCUUACCUGGGAACGCCAUCUCAUGCCAUUUGUAAGUUUCUUAUGCAGUUAGUUUGGGACAUGUGGUAGUCCACUGGAAAAUGACUCAAGCAUGGAAUGUAUUUAUGAUCACAAAUAAGGAAGUGGCCGUCCACAAAGCUUUAGAGAGUUGUAUUUGUCAUUUGAACAAAUUAUAACAGUUUAUCUAUAUAUUUCUAAGUCAAUAAAAUUUCACUCAAUGUAAAGUUUUAACUAACUUUAAAACCAAUAAAAUUGUCCUUGUUCUCAUUUUUCUGAACAAUGUUAUUCCCUUUCAUUCUCUAACUACAAAACAUAAACUUUAUUAGUCAAGUUUUGUGUGUUUUUUAAAAUGUAUGCCAAUAAUAAAACAUUGUAAACGU